UCUGAUAUGGUUAGUACAUAUACUUUCCCCCCGUACUAAUUAGUAAUUACUACUUGGCUAAGCUAAUUACAUCAAUGUAGACAAUCGAGCUUCAAACUCAGAAAGACACUUUUGUCUUUCAUUUUUUUUUUCCAUACAUUUUUGCUCUUUUGUACUAAUCUGAACAAAACAUAGAAAGAAAAAUAAAAAAGGUCAUGUAUUUUAUGGCCAGUCAGGGAUGUACAAAGUCUUCAUUUACACCCUAGAACGUGAUCUUGGAGAUAGUGAUGUGACGGUGCUCACAAUCCAAGAAUUGUAUUCUUCAGCUAAAGAAGGAGAAGAUUUGACAUGA
Molecule: long non-coding RNA, 331 nt
Filed under: Medicago truncatula (barrel medic)
Lineage: Eukaryota; Viridiplantae; Streptophyta; Magnoliopsida; Fabales; Fabaceae
Description: lncRNA gene49451
Source: RNAcentral